This 274-nucleotide ribosomal RNA is filed under the name uncultured bacterium. Its description in RNAcentral is "partial 16S ribosomal RNA". It matches the Rfam family "Bacterial small subunit ribosomal RNA", at positions 523 to 796 of the family's 1533-position model. The record is from RNAcentral.
AUACGGAGGGUGCAAGCGUUACUCGGAAUCACUGGGCGUAAAGCGCGCGCAGGCGGCUAUUUAAGUUGGAUGUGAAAGCCUAUGGCUCAACCAUAGAACUGCAUCCAAAACUAUUUAGCUAGAGUGUGGGAGAGGAAGAUGGAAUUAGUUGUGUAGGGGCAAAAUUCGUAGAGAUAACUAGGAAUACCAAAAGCGAAGGCAAUCUUCUGGAACACUACUGACGCUGAGGCGCGAAAGCGUGGGGAGCAAACAGGAUUAGAAACCCCAGUAGUCC